RNAcentral lists this ribosomal RNA (312 nucleotides) under Triticum aestivum (bread wheat). Its description in RNAcentral is "partial small subunit ribosomal RNA". Lineage: Eukaryota; Viridiplantae; Streptophyta; Magnoliopsida; Poales; Poaceae. The record is from RNAcentral.
AUGGCCCCUGCAGCUAUAGGCAUAGCUCCGCCAGUGGAAAGGAGAUUCCCAGCUUGUUUUAAGACAAGCUGCAAGGAGUAUCAAACCUCGUGUUCAACCAUGGGAGUGUACCUUAUGGAGGUUUCAAAGCUGGAAAGGGCGCACGUCGGCUUUGAUUACCAACACAUACCUUGGCUGGAAAAUCAAUGGGCCGACGAGAUCACCCAACUGGCUUCCUUGCGGUCUCUAGGAAUUUUUGAGAUCUUCAUUGAGAAGCUCCUCAAGCUAUCAAUAUCGCAAGCAAGCGACGUAGAUGAAGAGGUUGGUGUAUGA